Limulus polyphemus (Atlantic horseshoe crab) is the source of this 227-nucleotide long non-coding RNA. RefSeq lists it as uncharacterized. The transcript has 2 exons. NCBI's taxonomy places the organism in Eukaryota, Metazoa, Arthropoda, Merostomata, Xiphosura, Limulidae. The record is from RefSeq and is a predicted model, not a curated record.
UUUAUGUUCUUUUUCUCAGAAUGUUGAAAGAGAUAAAGUAACUAAAGUCACGUUACAAUGUGUUAAAGAAGCACAGUAGCAGAAACGCUCAAAUAACACCCUUUUUUGAAGACGUCAAAAUGACACCAGUUAUUACCACUACUGUAUGGUUACAUAAAUACAUUUGAAAACGACUCUUGUGUUUCAGCCGAAAUAUAAAUAAACUGUGUCCAUUUAGAAUAACAUUA